RNAcentral lists this ribosomal RNA (358 nucleotides) under uncultured Alphaproteobacteria bacterium. RNAcentral's name for it is "bacterial SSU rRNA". It matches the Rfam family "Bacterial small subunit ribosomal RNA", at positions 114 to 507 of the family's 1533-position model. The record is from RNAcentral. Lineage: Bacteria; Pseudomonadati; Pseudomonadota; Alphaproteobacteria.
CGCGUGGGAACCUACCUAGAGGUGCGGAAUAGCCCAGGGAAACUUGGAGUAAUACCGCAUAAGCCCGCAAGGGGAAAGAUUUAUCGCCUUUAGAUGGGCCCGCGUCUGAUUAGCUAGUUGGUGAGGUAAUGGCUCACCAAGGCGACGAUCAGUAGCUGGUUUGAGAGAAUGACCAGCCACACUGGGACUGAGACACGGCCCAGACUCCUACGGGAGGCAGCAGUGGGGAAUCUUGGACAAUGGGGGCAACCCUGAUCCAGCGACGCCGCGUGGGUGACGAAGGCCUUCGGGUUGUAAAGCCCUUUUCUCGGGGAAGAUGAUGACGGUACCCGAGGAAUAAGCACCGGCUAACUCCGUG